AAUGAACGCUGGCGGCAUGCCUAACACAUGCAAGUCGAACGAAGGCUUCGGCCUUAGUGGCGCACGGGUGCGUAACGCGUGGGAAUCUGCCCUUGGGUUCGGAAUAACAGUUAGAAAUGACUGCUAAUACCGGAUGAUGUCGUAAGACCAAAGAUUUAUCGCCCAAGGAUGAGCCCGCGUAGGAUUAGCUAGUUGGUGGGGUAAAGGCCUACCAAGGCGACGAUCCUUAGCUGGUCUGAGAGGAUGAUCAGCCACACUGGGACUGAGACACGGCCCAGACUCCUACGGGAGGCAGCAGUGGGGAAUAUUGGACAAUGGGCGAAAGCCUGAUCCAGCAAUGCCGCGUGAGUGAUGAAGGCCUUAGGGUUGUAAAGCUCUUUUACCCGGGAUGAUAAUGACAGUACCGGGAGAAUAAGCACCGGCUAACUUCGUG
RNAcentral lists this ribosomal RNA (433 nucleotides) under uncultured bacterium. Its description in RNAcentral is "partial 16S ribosomal RNA". It matches the Rfam family "Bacterial small subunit ribosomal RNA", at positions 29 to 507 of the family's 1533-position model. The record is from RNAcentral.